Molecule: ribosomal RNA, 430 nt
Filed under: Pseudomonadota bacterium
Lineage: Bacteria; Pseudomonadati; Pseudomonadota
Description: Proteobacteria bacterium partial 16S ribosomal RNA
Rfam family: Bacterial small subunit ribosomal RNA
Source: RNAcentral
UGGGGAAUAUUGGACAAUGGGGGGAACCCUGAUCCAGCCAUGCCGCGUGUGUGAAGAAGGCCUUAUGGUUGUAAAGCACUUUAAGCGAGGAGGAGGGUACUGGUAUUAAUACUACCAGCUACUGGACGUUACUCGCAGAAUAAGCACCGGCUAACUCUGUGCCAGCAGCCGCGGUAAUACAGAGGGUGCGAGCGUUAAUCCGAUUUACUGGGCGUAAAGCGUGCGUAGGCGGCUAAUUGAGUCGGAUGUGAAAUCCCCGAGCUUAACUUGGGAAUUGCAUUCGAUACUGGUUAGCUAGAGUGUGGGAGAGGAUGGUAGAAUUCCAGGUGUAGCGGUGAAAUGCGUAGAGAUCUGGAGGAAUACCGAUGGCGAAGGCAGCCAUCUGGCCUAACACUGACGCUGAGGUACGAAAGCAUGGGGAGCAAACAGG